AACGCUAGCUACAGGCUUAACACAUGCAAGUCGAGGGGCAGCAUGAUUGAAGCUUGCUUCAAUCGAUGGCGACCGGCGCACGGGUGAGUAACACGUAUCCAACCUGCCGAUAACUCGGGGAUAGCCUUUCGAAAGAAAGAUUAAUACCCGAUAGUAUAGUAUUUCCGCAUGGUUUCACUAUUAAAGAAUUUCGGUUAUCGAUGGGGAUGCGUUCCAUUAGAUAGUUGGCGGGGUAACGGCCCACCAUGUCAACGAUGGAUAGGGGUUCUGAGAGGAAGGUCCCCCACAUUGGAACUGAGACACGGUCCAAACUCCUACGGGAGGCAGCAGUGAGGAAUAUUGGUCAAUGGACGAGAGUCUGAACCAGCCAAGUAGCGUGAAGGAUGACUGCCCUAUGGGUUGUAAACUUCUUUUAUACGGGAAUAAAGUGGAGUAUGCAUACUCCUUUGUAUGUACCGUAUGAAUAAGGAUCGGCUAACUCCGUGCCAGCAGCCGCGGUAAUACGGAGGAUCCGAGCGUUAUCCGGAUUUAUUGGGUUUAAAGGGAGCGUAGGCGGGUGCUUAAGUCAGUUGUGAAAGUUUGCGGCUCAACCGUAAAAUUGCAGUUGAUACUGGGCGCCUUGAGUGCAGCAUAGGUAGGCGGAAUUCGUGGUGUAGCGGUGAAAUGCUUAGAUAUCACGAAGAACUCCGAUUG
RNAcentral lists this ribosomal RNA (693 nucleotides) under uncultured bacterium. RNAcentral describes it as "bacterial SSU rRNA". It matches the Rfam family "Bacterial small subunit ribosomal RNA", at positions 32 to 715 of the family's 1533-position model. The record is from RNAcentral.